AGAAUCAACGCUGGCGGCGUGCCUAACACAUGCAAGUCGAACGAGAAAGUGGAGCAAUCCAUGAGUAAAGUGGCGACCGGGUGAGUAACACGUGACUAACCUACCUUCGAGUGGGGGAUAACCUCGGGAAACCGGGGCUAAUACCGCAUAACACCUACGGGUCAAAGGAGCAAUUCGCUUAAGGAGGGGGUCGCGGCAGAUUAGUUAGUUGGCGGGGUAAUGGCCCACCAAGACGGUGAUCUGUAUCC
RNAcentral lists this ribosomal RNA (248 nucleotides) under uncultured bacterium. RNAcentral's name for it is "partial small subunit ribosomal RNA". It matches the Rfam family "Bacterial small subunit ribosomal RNA", at positions 26 to 288 of the family's 1533-position model. The record is from RNAcentral.